UCUCCUUGGCAAUUGGCAAAGUGACACCUUAUUUGUGGUGGUGUUCUUAUGUCAGUCGGGGGCAGAGCAGAUGGCAGUCCUUUGUUCAUCCUAGCUUGAUGCCUGCCUUGGUAGCCAAAGCUGUCUUAUGCCUAGGAUACACCU
Small nucleolar RNA from Grammomys surdaster, 144 nucleotides. RefSeq annotates it as small nucleolar RNA SNORA48. NCBI's taxonomy places the organism in Eukaryota, Metazoa, Chordata, Mammalia, Rodentia, Muridae. The transcript has a single exon. The record is from RefSeq and is a predicted model, not a curated record.